GGGUGCGUAGCUCAGCGGGAGAGCGCUUCCUUCACACGGAAGAGGUCACAGGUUCAAUCCCUGUCGCACCCACCA
This 75-nucleotide transfer RNA is filed under the name Kosmotogaceae bacterium. RNAcentral's name for it is "tRNA-Val". It matches the Rfam family "tRNA". Rfam says of the family: Transfer RNA (tRNA) molecules are approximately 80 nucleotides in length. Their secondary structure includes four short double-helical elements and three loops (D, anti-codon, and T loops). Further hydrogen bonds mediate the characteristic L-shaped molecular structure. tRNAs have two regions of fundamental functional importance: the anti-codon, which is responsible for specific mRNA codon recognition, and the 3' end, to which the tRNAs corresponding amino acid is attached (by aminoacyl-tRNA synthetases). tRNAs cope with the degeneracy of the genetic code in two manners: having more than one tRNA (with a specific anti-codon) for a particular amino acid; and 'wobble' base-pairing, i.e. permitting non-standard base-pairing at the 3rd anti-codon position. Lineage: Bacteria; Thermotogati; Thermotogota; Thermotogae; Kosmotogales; Kosmotogaceae. The record is from RNAcentral.